Long non-coding RNA from Cyprinus carpio carpio, 1008 nucleotides. Lineage: Eukaryota; Metazoa; Chordata; Actinopteri; Cypriniformes; Cyprinidae. The record is from Ensembl.
AUGGCCAGGUCACGGCAUUGGGAACGGCAUCGGGAACGGCCUCAGACAAGGGCACCGCCUCGGGAACGGCCUUGGACACGGGUAUCGCCUCCGGAACCAUCUCGGGCCCCGCAUCGGCCUCCGGAACAGCAUCGGGCACCGCCUCGGGAAUGGCAUCGGACAAGGACCCCGCCUCGGGAACGACCUCGGCAUCGGGCACCGCCUCGGGAACGGUCUCAGGAACGGCCUCGGGAACGGCAUUGGACAAGGACACCGCCUCGGGAACGACCUCGGCAUCGGGCACCGCCUCGGGAAUGGCCUCAGGAACGGCAUCGGACAAGGACACCGCCUCGGGAACGACCUCGGCAUCGGGCACCGCCUCGGGAACGGUCUCAGGAACGGCCUCAGGAACGGCCUCGGCAUCGGGCACCGCCUCGGGAACGGCCUCGGGAACGGCAUCGGACAAGGACACCGCCUCGGGAACGACCUCGGCCUGCGCAUCGGGCACCGCCUCGGCCUCCGGAACAGCAUCGGGCACCGCUUCGGCAUCGGGCACAGCCUCGGGCACAGCCUCGGCAACGGGCACCGCCUCGGGCACCGCCUCGGCAUCGGGGACCGCCUCGGGCACCGCCUCGGGCACCGCCUCGGCAUCGGGCACCGCAUCGGGCACCGCCUCGGGCACCGCCUCGGCAUCGGGGACCGCCUCGGGCACCGCCUCGGCAUCGGACAUUGCAUCGGGAACCGCCUCGGGCUCGGCAUCGGGCACCGCCUCGGGAACGGCCUCGGCAUCGGGCACCGCCUCGGGAACCUUGGACACCUCCACCUGGACGACCGCGGCCUGCUCGGGAACGUCCUCCUGGACGGCAGCGGCCUGCUCGGGAACGUCCUCCUGGACGGCAGCGGCCUGCUCGGGAACGUCCUCCUGGACGGCAGCGGCCUGCUCGAGAGCGUCCUCCGGGCUUUGAGGAACGGCUGACGCCUGUCUCCUCCUCCUGCGGCCUCUAUGAUGACGUGCCGGUGGCUCCUUGA